This 625-nucleotide ribosomal RNA is filed under the name uncultured bacterium. Its description in RNAcentral is "bacterial SSU rRNA". The stretch from base 1 to 519 matches the Rfam family "Bacterial small subunit ribosomal RNA", at positions 338 to 873 of the family's 1533-position model. The record is from RNAcentral.
CCUACGGGAGGCAGCAGUGGGGAAUCUUGCGCAAUGGGCGAAAGCCUGACGCAGCCAUGCCGCGUGAAUGAUGAAGGUCUUAGGAUUGUAAAAUUCUUUCACCGGGGACGAUAAUGACGGUACCCGGAGAAGAAGCCCCGGCUAACUUCGUGCCAGCAGCCGCGGUAAUACGAAGGGGGCUAGCGUUGCUCGGAAUUACUGGGCGUAAAGGGAGCGUAGGCGGAUAGUUUAGUCAGAGGUGAAAGCCCAGGGCUCAACCUUGGAAUUGCCUUUGAUACUGGCUAUCUUGAGUAUGGGAGAGGUUAGCGGAACUCCGAGUGUAGAGGUGAAAUUCGUAGAUAUUCGGAAGAACACCAGUGGCGAAGGCGGCUAACUGGCCCAUUACUGACGCUGAGGCUCGAAAGCGUGGGGAGCAAACAGGAUUAGAUACCCUGGUAGUCCACGCCGUAAACGAUGAGUGCUAGUUGUCGGCAUGCAUGCAUGUCGGUGACGCAGCUAACGACAUUAAGACACUCCGCCGUCGGGGAGGUACGGUCGGCGAAGAAGUUAAAACUUUAAAAGUUAAGUAAGUUAGUUACGGUCGUUGUUAGACGUUGCCGACGGACGACGACGAGGGGAGGUUAGG